CCUACGGGGUGCACCAGUGGGGAAUAUUGGACAAUGGGGGAAACCCUGAUGCAGCCAUGCCGCGUGUGUGAAGAAGGCCUUCGGGUUGUAAAGCACUUUCAGUAGGGAGGAAGGUAGUGUAGUUAACACCUGCAUUAUUUGACGUUACCUACAGAAGAAGCACCGGCUAACUCCGUGCCAGCAGCCGCGGUAAUACGGAGGGUGCGAGCGUUAAUCGGAAUUACUGGGCGUAAAACGCAUGCAGGCGGCCUGUUAAGUCAGAUGUGAAAGCCCGGGGCUUAACCUCGGAAUUGCAUUUGAAACUGGCAGGCUAGAGUCUUGUAGAGGGGGGUAGAAUUCCAGGUGUAGCGGUGAAAUGCGUAGAGAUCUGGAGGAAUACCGGUGGCGAAGGCGGCCCCCUGGACGAAGACUGACGCUCAGGUGCGAAAGCGUGGGGAGCAAACAGGAUUAGAUACCCGAGUAGUC
This 465-nucleotide ribosomal RNA is filed under the name uncultured bacterium. RNAcentral describes it as "bacterial SSU rRNA". It matches the Rfam family "Bacterial small subunit ribosomal RNA", at positions 338 to 795 of the family's 1533-position model. The record is from RNAcentral.